UUUUGUUGUGCCCUAACUUAGCAGUCCUGUUGGGAUAAAAGGGACAGCUCUCUCUCUCUCUCUCUCUCUCUCUCUCUCUCUCUCUCUCUCUCUCUCUCUCUCUCUCUCUCUCUCCCCCCCUCUCUCAUCCCUUGACUCUCAUAUUCACCCACUGCUGCAGCCUGAUACCAGCUGUUUGUUUAAAAACACAGCAAUAUACUUGGAAGUUCAGCCAAUGAAGAGAUCUAAAAGAGAAAAGAAGUGGGAAUAACUGAAAUGAGGACAACCAGGCUGUAGCAACAGCUGGGAGAUUUACACCAAGGUCAAUGGCAUAAACUAUGAGUGGAGAGCAACUAAGGUGGAAUCUGUGCUAUGGGGGCCCUGGAAUCUCUUUGCUACUUCCUAAGCCCUGCCAGCUGGACACCAGCUUACAUGGAUUCUUUGGUCUCUGCCUCCCAUCUCUAGCCAGCAGUGAGUGACCAGCAGCCAGCACGGACUGCCUAUCAGAUCAUCUGAGACCAGCUGGUCCUGAACUUUCCACAGGGUGACUAAGGUCCCGUGAAUGAGACCAGCAAAAAAGUGAAAUACAUUCCACAGGAAGUUCAUUAUCCUCUAAAGCUAUAAUGGGAGAAGCAAGGAGGUAUAUUUACAGAAAUGGUUGAAAAAAAAAAAGACAGAGAAAAAUACAUAUUUUUAAAUAUAUUUGCAUUUCAAAGAUCUUGUCACCCACCAGCAGGGAUGAGCCCUCCCAUGUUCUUCCAGUGACUGAACAACUGUCCCUACCUGAGCAGACUUCUUUGUAGGUGGGAUUGCGUGUGUAGCCUCCUGCAAAGCCCACUUGGGUUGAAUACACGCCUUUUAAGAGCCAGAACUUGCGCUCGGCCCCCCAGAAGCAGCCCAUUCCUGCAGAGAACAAAACAAAGAUAAAUCAUGUAUCCAAAUCAAGGCGGUUACUAUAUGUCACCACACCUGUCGGGUGGAACGGAGAAGCUGAUCAAGAAGGCCCAGAGUUAACACUGAAGAAUAUCUAAAGCAAAGGUUUCAGCACUGAAGAAUAAUACAGUGCCAGCAAGAUGGCUCAGCAUGUAGCAGGCCUGCUAUAGAGCCUGAUGACUGGAGUUCCAUCCCCAGAGCCACAAAUCCAGAUGUGGAGGCUCCAAUCUGUAAUCCCGGUAUUCUUGUGACAAAACGGUGGUGGGCUGAGCUCAGCAGAAUCACCCUGGACCAUGUACAGAACAGCAGGAACCACAAGAGGCCUCAACAGGUGGAAUGAGAGAACCAGUGCCCAGGAAGAUGUGCUCUGUCCUCCACAUGCACACACACACACACACACACACACACACACACACACACACACACACACUAAUAAGUGACCAUAUUAAAACUUCUCAAAA
This is a non-coding RNA of Peromyscus maniculatus bairdii (prairie deer mouse), 1373 nucleotides long. NCBI's taxonomy places the organism in Eukaryota, Metazoa, Chordata, Mammalia, Rodentia, Cricetidae. The record is from RefSeq and is a predicted model, not a curated record.